Oncorhynchus tshawytscha (Chinook salmon) is the source of this 497-nucleotide long non-coding RNA. Lineage: Eukaryota; Metazoa; Chordata; Actinopteri; Salmoniformes; Salmonidae. The record is from Ensembl.
CGGCAGGGUAGCCUAGUGGUUAGAGUGUAGAGGUGGCAGGGUAGCCUAGUGGUUGGACUGUAGGGGCGGCAGGGUAGCCUAGUGGUUAGAGUGUAGAGGUGGCAGGGUAGCCUAGUGGUUAGAGUGUAGAGGUGGCAGGGUAGCCUAGUGGUUAGAGUGUAGAGGUGGCAGGGUAGCCUAGUGGUUAGAGUGUAGAGGUGGCAGGUAGCCUAGUGGUUAGAGUGUAGAGGUGGCAGGGCAGCCUAGUGGUUAGAGUGUAGAGGUGGCAGGGUAGCCUAGUGGUUAGAGUGUAGAGGUGGCAGGUAGCCUAGUGGUUAGAGUGUAGAGGCGGCAGGGUAGCCUAGUGAUUAGAGUGUAGAGGUGGCAGGGUAGCCUAGUGGUUAGAGUGUAGAGGUGGCAGGUAGCCUAGUGGUUAGAGUGUAGAGGUGGCAAGUAGCCUAGUGGUUAGAGUGUAGAGGUGGCAGGGUAGCCUAGUGGUUAGAGUGUAGAGGUGGCAG